This 642-nucleotide ribosomal RNA is filed under the name uncultured Methanosaeta sp. RNAcentral describes it as "bacterial SSU rRNA". It matches the Rfam family "Archaeal small subunit ribosomal RNA", at positions 339 to 981 of the family's 1478-position model. The record is from RNAcentral. Lineage: Archaea; Methanobacteriati; Methanobacteriota; Methanomicrobia; Methanotrichales; Methanotrichaceae.
GCGCGAAAACUUUACAAUGCGGGCAACCGCGAUAAGGGGACCUCGAGUGCUGGGUUACAAACCUGGCUGUUGGGCUGCCUAAAAAGCAGUCUAUAGCAAGGGCCGGGCAAGACCGGUGCCAGCCGCCGCGGUAACACCGGCGGCUCGAGUGGUAACCGCUAUUAUUGGGUCUAAAGGGUCUGUAGCCGGCCGACUAAGUCUCUUGGGAAAUCUGGCAUCUCAAGUGUCAGGCUGCCAGGGGAUACUGGUCGGCUUGGGACCGGGAGAGGUGAGAGGUACCUCGGGGGUAGGGGUGAAAUCUUGUAAUCCUCGAGGGACCACCAGUGGCGAAGGCGUCUCACCAGAACGGAUCCGACGGCAAGGGACGAAAGCUAGGGGCACGAACCGGAUUAGAUACCCGGGUAGUCCUAGCCGUAAACGAUACUCGCUAGGUGUCGGCCACGGUGCGACCGUGGUCGGUGCCGUAGGGAAGCCGUGAAGCGAGCCACCUGGGAAGUACGGCCGCAAGGCUGAAACUUCAAGGAAUUGGCGGGGGAGCGCCACAACGGGUGGAGCCUGCGGUUUAAUUGGAUUCAACGCCGGAAAGCUUACCGGGGGCGACAGCAAUAUGAAGGUCAGGCUGAAGACCUUACCGGAUUCGCU